This 253-nucleotide unclassified non-coding RNA is filed under the name uncultured Caryophanales bacterium. Its description in RNAcentral is "uncultured Bacillales bacterium contains 16S-23S intergenic spacer region". It matches the Rfam family "Bacterial small subunit ribosomal RNA", at positions 524 to 776 of the family's 1533-position model. Lineage: Bacteria; Bacillati; Bacillota; Bacilli; Caryophanales. The record is from RNAcentral.
UACGAAGGUGGCAAGCGUUGUCCGGAAUUAUUGGUCGUAAAGCGCUCGCAGGCGGCCUCUUAAGUCUGCUGGUAAAGACCCCGGCUCGACCGGGGAGGGCCAUUGGAAACUGGGAGGCUUGAGUAUAGGAGAGAAGAGUGGAAUUCCACGUGUAGCGGUGAAAUGCGUAGAGAUGUGGAGGAACACCAGUGGCGAAGGCGACUCUUUGGCCUAUAACUGACGAUGAGGCGCGAAAGCGUGGGGAGCAAACAGG